UUUUUAGUAAUUUUUGUCAUGCUUAAUUGCAUUUUGAGUCGUAUUUAUUUAUUUUUUAUUUUGAGAGAUAGGUAUCACGUUACCCGCUUUGUUUAUUUCAUUUAGAAAUAAACUUGACUUAAAAUGUGAAUCAACAAGGAUUCGAACUUAAGUCUCGGGUACCAACCACCAAGCCUUUGUCACUUACUCUAGAGACUGGGUGAAUCGUAUUUAAAAUUG
This 219-nucleotide long non-coding RNA is filed under the name Ananas comosus (pineapple). RNAcentral's name for it is "long non-coding RNA (ACOM_LNC018780)". The record is from RNAcentral. Lineage: Eukaryota; Viridiplantae; Streptophyta; Magnoliopsida; Poales; Bromeliaceae.